Molecule: non-coding RNA, 96 nt
Organism: Paramuricea clavata
Lineage: Eukaryota; Metazoa; Cnidaria; Anthozoa; Malacalcyonacea; Plexauridae
Source: the annotation of a GenBank genome assembly
UAGUAAUAUGAAUUUUUUCUGUGUUGGUGUAGUGUACUCACAAUAUCAUAUUCACCUGAGUACACUACACCAACACAGAAAAAAUUCAUAUGACUA